UCCUGACUGACCGAUAGUGAACCAGUACCGUGAGGGAAAGGCGAAAAGAACCCCGGCGAGGGGAGUGAAAAAGAACCUGAAACCGUGUACGUACAAGCAGUGGGAGCACGCUUAGGCGUGUGACUGCGUACCUUUUGUAUAAUGGGUCAGCGACUUAUAUUCUGUAGCAAGGUUAACCGAAUAGGGGAGCCGAAGGGAAACCGAGUCUUAACUGGGCGUUAAGUUGCAGGGUAUAGACCCGAAACCCGGUGAUCUAGCCAUGGGCAGGUUGAAGGUUGGGUAACACUAACUGGAGGACCGAACCGACUAAUGUUGAAAAAUUAGCGGAUGACUUGUGGCUGGGGGUGAAAGGCCAAUCAAACCGGGAGAUAGCUGGUUCUCCCCGAAAGCUAUUUAGGUAGCGCCUCGUGAAUUCAUCUCCGGGGGUAGAGCACUGUUUCGGCAAGGGGGUCAUCCCGACUUACCAACCCGAUGCAAACUGCGAAUACCGGAGAAUGUUAUCACGGGAGACACACGGCGGGUGCUAACGUCCGUCGUGAAGAGGGAAACAACCCAGACCGCCAGCUAAGGUCCCAAAGUCAUGGUUAAGUGGGAAACGAUGUGGGAAGGCCCAGACAGCCAGGAUGUUGGCUUAGAAGCAGCCAUCAUUUAAAGAAAGCGUAAUAGCUCACUGGUCGAGUCGGCCUGCGCGGAAGAUGUAACGGGGCUAAACCAUGCACCGAAGCUGCGGCAGCGACGCUUAUGCGUUGUUGGGUAGGGGAGCGUUCUGUAAGCCUGCGAAGGUGUGCUGUGAGGCAUGCUGGAGGUAUCAGAAGUGCGAAUGCUGACAUAAGUAACGAUAAAGCGGGUGAAAAGCCCGCUCGCCGGAAGACCAAGGGUUCCUGUCCAACGUUAAUCGGGGCAGGGUGAGUCGACCCCUAAGGCGAGGCCGAAAGGCGUAGUCGAUGGGAAACAGGUUAAUAUUCCUGUACUUGGUGUUACUGCGAAGGGGGGACGGAGAAGGCUAUGUUGGCCGGGCGACGGUUGUCCCGGUUUAAGCGUGUAGGCUGGUUUUCCAGGCAAAUCCGGAAAAUCAAGGCUGAGGCGUGAUGACGAGGCACUACGGUGCUGAAGCAACAAAUGCCCUGCUUCCAGGAAAAGCCUCUAAGCAUCAGGUAACAUCAAAUCGUACCCCAAACCGACACAGGUGGUCAGGUAGAGAAUACCAAGGCGCUUGAGAGAACUCGGGUGAAGGAACUAGGCAAAAUGGUGCCGUAACUUCGGGAGAAGGCACGCUGAUAUGUAGGUGAAGUCCCUUGCGGAUGGAGCUGAAAUCAGUCGAAGAUACCAGCUGGCUGCAACUGUUUAUUAAAAACACAGCACUGUGCAAACACGAAAGUGGACGUAUACGGUGUGACGCCUGCCCGGUGCCGGAAGGUUAAUUGAUGGGGUCAGCGCAAGCGAAGCUCUUGAUCGAAGCCCCGGUAAACGGCGGCCGUAACUAUAACGGUCCUAAGGUAGCGAAAUUCCUUGUCGGGUAAGUUCCGACCUGCACGAAUGGCGUAAUGAUGGCCAGGCUGUCUCCACCCGAGACUCAGUGAAAUUGAACUCGCUGUGAAGAUGCAGUGUACCCGCGGCAAGACGGAAAGACCCCGUGAACCUUUACUAUAGCUUGACACUGAACAUUGAGCCUUGAUGUGUAGGAUAGGUGGGAGGCUUUGAAGUGUGGACGCCAGUCUGCAUGGAGCCGGCCUUGAAAUACCACCCUUUAAUGUUUGAUGUUCUAACGUGGACCCGUGAUCCGGGUUGCGGACAGUGUCUGGUGGGUAGUUUGACUGGGGCGGUCUCCUCCUAAAGAGUAACGGAGGAGCACGAAGGUUGGCUAAUCCUGGUCGGACAUCAGGAGGUUAGUGCAAUGGCAUAAGCCAGCUUGACUGCGAGCGUGACGGCGCGAGCAGGUGCGAAAGCAGGUCAUAGUGAUCCGGUGGUUCUGAAUGGAAGGGCCAUCGCUCAACGGAUAAAAGGUACUCCGGGGAUAACAGGCUGAUACCGCCCAAGAGUUCAUAUCGACGGCGGUGUUUGGCACCUCGAUGUCGGCUCAUCACAUCCUGGGGCUGAAGUAGGUCCCAAGGGUAUGGCUGUUCGCCAUUUAAAGUGGUACGCGAGCUGGGUUUAGAACGUCGUGAGACAGUUCGGUCCCUAUCUGCCGUGGGCGCUGGAGAACUGAGGGGGGCUGCUCCUAGUACGAGAGGACCGGAGUGGACGCAUCACUGGUGUUCGGGUUGUCAUGCCAAUGGCACUGCCCGGUAGC
Molecule: ribosomal RNA, 2290 nt
Filed under: Shigella sonnei
Lineage: Bacteria; Pseudomonadati; Pseudomonadota; Gammaproteobacteria; Enterobacterales; Enterobacteriaceae
Description: partial 23S ribosomal RNA
Rfam family: Bacterial large subunit ribosomal RNA
Source: RNAcentral